CCACCACUUGGCUCUAGCUUCCUGAGAUCAUGUAGUAGAAGAAAUAGAAGGAUGAAAAGAUAGAUGAACUUCAUUCUGUUAAGGAGAUCAAAAUCAAAUGUUCUUCUACAGUAUUUCAUCAUGAGGCAACACUGGGGUCUGCUGGAGCCAAUCCCAGCCAAC
This is a long non-coding RNA of Polypterus senegalus (gray bichir), 162 nucleotides long. RefSeq lists it as uncharacterized. Lineage: Eukaryota; Metazoa; Chordata; Cladistia; Polypteriformes; Polypteridae. The record is from RefSeq and is a predicted model, not a curated record. The transcript is spliced from 3 exons.